UACGGAGGGUGCGAGCGUUAAUCGGAAUAGCUGGGCGUAAAGGGCACGCAGGCGGGCCUUUAAGUGAGAUGUGAAAUCCCCGGGCUUAACCUGGGAAUAGCAUUUCAGACUGGGAGUCUAGAGUACUUUAGGGAGGGGUAGAAUUCCACGUGUAGCGGUGAAAUGCGUAGAGAUGUGAAGGAAUACCGAAGGCGAAGGCAGCCCCUUGGGAAUGUACUGACGCUCAUGUGCGAAGGCGUGGGGAGCAAACAGG
Molecule: ribosomal RNA, 253 nt
Filed under: uncultured bacterium
Lineage: Bacteria
Description: partial 16S ribosomal RNA
Rfam family: Bacterial small subunit ribosomal RNA
Source: RNAcentral